This 151-nucleotide ribosomal RNA is filed under the name uncultured fungus. RNAcentral's name for it is "partial 18S ribosomal RNA". It matches the Rfam family "Eukaryotic small subunit ribosomal RNA", at positions 1 to 153 of the family's 1831-position model. The record is from RNAcentral. Lineage: Eukaryota; Fungi.
UGUGCUGGAAUUCGGCUUGUAGUCAUAUGCUUGUCUCAAAGAUUAAGCCAUGCAUGUCUAAGUAUAAGCAACUUGUACUGUGAAACUGCGAAUGGCUCAUUAAAUCAGUUAUCGUUUAUUUGAUAGUACCAGAACGAGGAACAAUUGGAGG